UAUAUCUGUGUCUGUCACUGCAUGUUGCCUGGGCUUGUGUUUUGUGUUUGUGUGUGCAUCUUGCUGUGUGCGGUGAGUGUCUCUCGUUGGGUGCCAUGGGCGCGUGUGAUGCUGUGUGUGUCUCACUAUGUGCGCCUGGAUGUGCAUCUGAUGUUGUACAUCUGUCAUUGCAGCAUGUGUUAACAUGUGUCUGUGUUGGUUGCUUAUCUGUGCUGGGUGUUGUCUGCCUCCUCUCUCUCUCUCUGUGUCCUGGCAGUCUCUCCUGGUGUGACUCUUGCUGUGUGAGUCAUUGCGGUCUGUCCAGUGUGUGUGUGUUAUUGUGGUGUGUCCGUCUGCACAUCUUUUUGCAGUGCAUGUAUUGUCAUGUCUCUCACUCAGUGUGUCAUUGCUGUGGAUCUGGCCUGAAUAUGUUUCUUCUGUGUGUGUGUGGGUGUGUGUGAUUGCAGUAUGUCCAGUUUGCCUGUGUCUCUCCUGGUAUGUCUCUGGCUCUGUGUGUUAUUGUGAUGUGUCCGUCUGUGUGGGUCUCUCCUGAUGUGUCUCUUACUGUGUCAUUGAAGUGUGUCCAGUCUGCAUGUGUCUCCUUUCUGUCUCUUGUUGUGCGUGUGUUAUGGUGUGUCCAUCUGUGUGUCUCAUUGCGGUAUGUCCACUCUGCACGUGUCUCACCUGCUGUGUGUCGUAUCUCACAAAGUGUGUCUCAAUGUGCUGUAUCUGUUUGUGUCUCUCCUGGUGCGUCUUGUACUCUGUGUGAGUGUUGUGGCAGUAUGUUGGCAUGUAUCAUUACGGUGUGUUGCUGUAUGUCAUGCAGUAUGUCGUACUGUGUGUGUGACAUGCACAUGCGGUCUGUCACGUUGUUGUGUUGUAUGUGUGUGACACGUGGUGUCGCUGUGCAUGUCAUUGCAGAGUGUGGUUGUGUUUGUCACAUGCAGUGUGAGGUGUUGCAGUGUGUCGCAGUGUGUGUGUGUGUGUGACAUGCACAUGCGGUCUGUCCCGCUGGGUGUUGUUGUGUUGUAUGUGUGUGACACGUGGUGUCGCUGUGCAUGUCAUUGCAGAGUGUGGUUGUGUUUGUCACAUGCAGUGUGAGGUGUUGCAGUGUGUCGCAUUGUGUGUGUGUGUGUGUGUGACAUGCACAUGCGGUCUGUCCCGCUGGGUGGUGGUGUGGUGUAUGUGUGUGAGACGUGGUGUCGCUGUGCGGGGUUGUGUGUGUGUGUCACAUGCAGUGUGAGGUGUUGCAGUGUGUCGCAGUGUGUGUGUGUGUGACACACGUGGUGUCGCUGUGCGGGGUUGUGUGUGUGUGUCACAUGCAGUGUGAGGUGUUGCAGUGUGUCGCAGUGUGUGUGUGUGUGUGACACGUGGUGUCGCUGUGCGGGGUUGUGUGUGUGUGUGUGUGUCACAUGCAGUGUGAGGUGUUGCAGUGUGUCGCAGUGUUGCAGUGUGUCGCAGUGUGUGUGUGUGUGUGACACGUGGUGUCGCUGUGCGGGGUUGUGUGUGUGUGUGUGUGUCACAUGCAGUGUGAGGUGUUGCAGUGUGUCGCAGUGUGUGUGUGACAUGCACAUGCGGUCUGUCUCGCUGGGUGGUGUUGUGGGGUGUGUGUGUGACACGUGGUGUCGCUGUGCGGGGUUGUGUGUGUGUGUCACAUGCAGUGUGAGGUGUUGCAGUGUGUCGCAGUGUGUGUUUGUGUGUGUGUGACAUGCACAUGCGGUCUGUCCCGCUGGGUGGUGGUGUGGUGUAUGUGUGUGAGACGUGGUGUCGCUGUGCG
Gopherus flavomarginatus (Mexican gopher tortoise) is the source of this 1756-nucleotide long non-coding RNA. RefSeq lists it as uncharacterized. Lineage: Eukaryota; Metazoa; Chordata; Testudines; Testudinidae. The record is from RefSeq and is a predicted model, not a curated record. The transcript has 6 exons.